CGCCCGGCCGCGCCUGCGCACAUCUGCCGCCCGGCCGCGCGUGGCGACCCCGCCACUUUCUCUUUUGCGCCGUGCUCGUCUUCUCCGCGCUCGUGAGCCUGACCCUAGCGGCGUCCCCAGGCUUGAUCAGAAAGAAGAGCUCAGAGGAGUGAGGCAACACCAACACCAGGGCGUACGAUACAUCCGAGGCUCCCCCGACACAAGUUCCAGCCCGGAAGGGCUUGGAAUGGCCUGCCACGCCGGGGCAAUGGAGCGCGUGAAAGCCAAACCUUGGGACCCUUAGAGUAAUUUGACUGCGAAGGCACCGUCGUCGUCGUCGGGCACCCCCUGUAGACGGGCGCAUAAUAGAUACAUCUCUGGAGAUAGUGAUGGAAACUGGGGUCCGAUAGAUGGAGAGAAGGACGUAGGAUAAGACUUCUUGUGGGGUGAGGAGGCAGAGGGCACCUGGAGAGAGGUGUGGCAUGGAGAACCAGGGGUUUUCCCUAGCAGAGGGCGGCUUCGUGGACUUCGGCCAACCGGCGGGUGCUUCCCUCGAGCGGCCGCUAGAUGGUGGUGCUGUUCUGGAUGCUUCCAGUAGGCCCCGACCAGGUCUGGACAAUGCCUGGCACCCGUCCCCCGCCCCUCAUCUACACACACGCAAGAAUUCGGAGCUCCAUGGGGGACAGAAGCAAGAUAUCCGUAAAAUCAAAGUCUAGGGGGUAGGAAUGAAAAGGGAAAAGUGAGGAACGGGGAGCCAAACCCAGGAAGACGCCUCUGUUCCUGCACAUUCCCUCUCCUUUGUAUACUCAGCUCUUGGCUGUCUCCAGUAUGUACCCACCCUGGUCUUCCAAGCUGGGAGCCACUUUUAAUAACACAAUCACAGUUUCACAAACCCCAGGAAGGUUCCAUGUGGAGAGAGGUUAAGUUUCGCCCUUGCCCGGGGAAUUAUGACACUCAGAAUAUCCCCUUGGUGUAAAUGGAAGACACCUGAGAAAAGAGAGAAAGUAGAUUGGCAGUGAAGCACAGCCAUCCAGAUGCCAUUUCCCCUGCCUUCUCCAGCUCCACCGUUCCUCUGCCUCCUGUAAGAACCCGGCAUUCUGCACUUCACUCCUCAGACCCGCCUCUGUUUAGGUUUCCAACCUCCCUCUUAGCGGUAGCUCCCUGCACUGCUACCCCAGGUCAGAGAUGUCCUGCUUUCGGUUGCCCACACGGCUCUCACCUGCGCUAUAGCAGCUGUUGUAGGCCCGGUCCGGGUGGGAGGGCAUACUUCUUAUACAUCGGAAUAGAGUCUCCUGCCUUCCUUGGCCUUCUCGAGACACCACCUGACCCAUGGUGAAAGUCACGUCUUGAAACAGGACCUGGCAGGGAAGGGAGAUGUUGAAGAAAACAGGAUGGCCUGGCUCAGUUCUGGGAGGCCCCAGGAGCGCUAACAAGGGAAGAAAGAAGGGUCUGCUAGGUUUGGUAUGAAUAGAGGGGUCAGGAACGCUCAGUAACGGGCCAAAGAGGCCCUCUGUGAAGCUCAGAGUGUCGCUGGGGUUACCUGGCUAUACAGCAGAUAAACUCCAGCAUCCCGGAUUCGGACACCAUAUCCUUGGGCCUGUAGGCCUCUCCCACGCCUAAGAGCUGGUUGCCACAUCACCUCUGUCACAUCGGAGUCAUCUGGAGGUGAGAAGUGUGUCGCUCAGGACUUCUUGGCACUCUCAGAUGCUUUUUGGUUCUUCCCCUUUCACUUAUAAGGACCCCUUGAGCCCAAGUGCCAGCCCCAGAGUUCCUGGUUAUUGCACCUCCCCAAAGCCAUUAUUUAAAAUAGUGCUCACCCUUGGAGGUGGCGUUAAUGGGAACCAGGUGCAGGAUGGAGUGCUGCUCUGAGGAGAGAAAGAGGGAAUCUCAGCCACGUCCACUUUCCCCCAUUGUGCUGUUGGCAGCCUCCACCCUCACCCUGACUCGGGCUUACAAUCCCCAUGCUGCUUGAUCACCUCCCACCCCUGCUGCACCCUGGAAGCCUCACUCUUCUGUUUUUGGGUGAGCACUGCUCUCCUUUUCCGGGAUCUCUCCCCAUUCUCCCAGGCUUCCAGGGCAUCGGAGCUCUGCUCAUGGAAAGAGGGUCAAGGUUAGGUUAAGAUGCAAGGGUCCCAGCCAGCCUUCCUUCCCAGCCCUCCCCUGCCCCCGAAAUGCCUCAAAUCUCUCAUGCACCUUUUCCCAGCUCCCUGAGUGUUGGUGCUGGCUGCCCUCCAGAAUUUGUUAGGUAUGAGAAGCAUUAACCUUUAACAAUUUCCUUUCCUGGAAUGGCCGCGCCCCUGCGCCCCUGACUUCCAAACCGGAGACCCUCUCUUGCACCCCCUUGAAACUUUGCAGACCAGGAGGCCCAGCGACCCCGCAUGCCAACCAUCCUCUCCCAGACACCCUCCUCCCCUCACUCACCUGCUUCGGGAGACUCUGCCAGGGAUACCCUUCCCCCUUCUGGGAGGGCCCUCCUGUCCUCUGCAGCCGGCUCACCUCUCUCCUGAGGCUCUGCAGCUCUGUUUGUUGGGUCAGCAGAGCCAUGGCACAAGCCACAGCCCCCAGAGCUGCCCCCCAACUCAGCCACAGGGCAACUGAGAGUGCUGGCUCUCUGACCGGGCCCCCCAUGUUGCCUGGAGGCCCUUUGGGGGCUAGCGAGAAAGGAGAUGAGGCUGGCAUGAGCUGGGGACCCUGCCAACAGCUGUGGUUUCAAGAGUGGGGUAGCAAGGAGGUGGCAGGGCGGGUAGGGGUACGGGCAGUGGGGCAGAAGGGAAGAAGGUUGUUACGCAAGGACAAAUAAAAAGGAACUUGAGAAUAAAAAGGAGGGAGGAGGAAAGCAAGCUAAGGGUACUGUUAAUGUUCCUGGCAGUCCAUUGUGGGGCCAGUGUUACCUUGAGACCCUCCACCCUCCCUCAGCCUCAGGAGAAUUAGGUUCCAGUCCCUCUAGGAAGGACAGGGCUGCCAGUGACACCCAGGAGGAACAGCCAGUGCGCAGGAACCCUGGGGCGGCCCCAGGGUUGGGGGAGGGAAGGUUGGCUGGCUAGAGGGCAUGGUGCCAGGAGCAGGAUGGGGGGCCAAGCUGGGCAGUGUCCAGGGUCAGGGCGAGGGUGGAAGACCCUCUGGCUCAGGCACAGCAGAGAUCGCUGGGGCAGUUCACUAGGGGUGACUGAAGGUGGGAAAGGAGGGGUGGGCUCGGUGGGGAGGAGAACCAGGGGCACGGAAGCAAGAAACUGGCUGAGUUCUGGGGUUAAGGCUGGGCCGGGUGUGUUGGAAUAAGGCCUGCACUACUCCCUGUGCUGAACUUGGCAAGCAGGACUUCCUGUUUCCCGAGAAAAGCUCUUACAUAAGGCUCUGGACGAAGAGACAAAGCAGCAGCCUCAAGCCCCCCGGCCACUGCAGGAUUCCUCCCCGGCACACAGGAUUCCGGGUUCCCGUGUGCCUGCUGACUCUGAGCCCCUCCUCCAGGCUGGCUCCUGCCUACCCCACCUCCCAGCCAGGGCCUGUGCCAGCACCUGCUGAAUGUCCUGAGGCCACCAAGAGGAAGGGCCCCUGCUCCUCCCAGCCAGGGAGGGAUUCCCCCGCAGGAGGAAGUCCGUCCGCCUCCUAGGGAAAGGAGGCCGCUCCUGCUGUACCUUGGGCAGAGAAUUGAUUUUCUCCUGGGCAGUGUCCCUUUCUACCUCUGCUCCCACCUGGGGGUUGGAGGCAUGGAGGUCCCCGCCCCCAAGCCUGAACACCAUCCUGGAAUUCCAGCUGUGCCGCUCCGCAACGCCCCGCUUCCCGUGGCCCCCGGCUACCCUGGGAGUGUCCCCUGAGCCCCAAUAAAGAGAGAGACUAUGACUUAUUCUA
Symphalangus syndactylus (siamang) is the source of this 3825-nucleotide long non-coding RNA. RefSeq lists it as uncharacterized. NCBI's taxonomy places the organism in Eukaryota, Metazoa, Chordata, Mammalia, Primates, Hylobatidae. The record is from RefSeq and is a predicted model, not a curated record.